This 468-nucleotide ribosomal RNA is filed under the name uncultured bacterium. RNAcentral describes it as "partial 16S ribosomal RNA". It matches the Rfam family "Bacterial small subunit ribosomal RNA", at positions 28 to 507 of the family's 1533-position model. The record is from RNAcentral.
GACGAACGCUGGCGGCGUGCUUAACACAUGCAAGUCGAACGGAAAGGCCCUGCUUUUGUGGGGUUCUCGAGUGGCGAACGGGUGAGUAUCACGUGUGUAACCUGCCCUUGACUUUGGGAUAACUUCAGGAAACUGGGGCUCAUACCGGAUAGGAGCUCCUGCUGCAUGGUGGGGGUUGGAAAGUUUCGGCGGUUGGGGAUGGACUCGCGGCUUACCAGCUUGUUGGUGGGGUAGUGGCUUACCAAGGGUUUGACGGGUAGCCGGCCUGAGAGGGUGACCGGCCACAUUGGGACUGAGAUACGGCCCAGACUCGUACGGGAGGCAGCAGUGGGGAAUAUUGCACAAUGGGCGGAAGCCUGAUGCAGCAACGCCGCGUGCGGGAUGACGGCCUUCGGGUUGUAAACCGCUUUCGCCUGUGACGAAGCGUGAGUGACGGUAAUGGGUAAAGAAGCACCGGCUAACUACGUG